RNAcentral lists this long non-coding RNA (528 nucleotides) under Lactuca sativa (garden lettuce). RNAcentral describes it as "long non-coding RNA (LSAT_LNC007600)". The record is from RNAcentral. Lineage: Eukaryota; Viridiplantae; Streptophyta; Magnoliopsida; Asterales; Asteraceae.
UCAUCAAACAGUUCAUUAGCAAGUGCUCGAGCAUCAUCAGUUGCUGCUGCUUAUAAUCGUUUAGUAAUCACAUCCAUCAAUCCAUCUGAAUCCCAUCAAGAACCAGAUCCUGAUGAUUCUAUGGAACUUAUUGAGCAAAAUUACGAACCUGACCCUGAUGCUUCUAUUGAUAUCAUUGAACAAAAUUAUGAACCUGACCCUGAUGCUUCUAUUGAUAUCAUUGAACAAAAUUACGAACCUGACCCUGAUGCUUCUAUUGCUAUCAUUGAACAAAAUUACGAACCUGACCCUGAUGAAAAUGAAGUGGUUCAAAAACAAGAACCUGAUCCAGAUGAUAGUGUAAAUGAACCUAUGGAGUCUGAAAUCAGAAUUACUUGUGAAAAAAUUGAGGGGAAUUUUAAUUUUGUUUCUGAAAAUGAAAUGAAGAUGGAAAGCAAUGAAUUUGAGCCAGAUCCUGAUGAUGAAGAGCUUCAAAGAAUUCAAGAUCCUGUAAUGGUGGCAUGUAAUCGAUUGAAAAAGUCGAUUCAG